CUCCUUUAGAAUUUAAUUAAAGGUAGGACCUGCCCCCUGGGUACUAAAGGGCCGCAGUACUCUAACUGUGCAAAGGUAGCAUAAUAAUUUGCUUUAUAAUUGAAAGCUGGGAUGAAAGGUUUGAUGAGGGGCUAUCUUUAUUAAUAAAAAUAUUUGAAUUUAAUUUUAAAGUAAAAAAGCUUUAGAAAUUUUGUGGGACGAUAAGACCCUAUUAAGCUUUAUUAGGAAGUUCAUUUUCUCAUAGAUGAAGGUGGAGGGUACUAAUUGUACUGGGGCGGUAUAGGAAAACAGUUAAUUAAUAAAUUAAAUUUGGAGCCACUAAAUAGUGAGAAUUAGAUAAGUUACUAUAGGGAUAACAGCAUAAUUCUUUUUGAGAGUUCUUAUUAACGAAGGAGUUUGUGACCUCGAUGUUGAAUUAAUUAAUCUAAUGGGUGAAGAAGCUCAUAAAGAGAGUCUGUUCGACUUUUAAAUAUUUACA
Molecule: ribosomal RNA, 478 nt
Filed under: Dendrolasma parvulum
Lineage: Eukaryota; Metazoa; Arthropoda; Arachnida; Opiliones; Nemastomatidae
Description: partial 16S ribosomal RNA
Rfam family: Bacterial large subunit ribosomal RNA
Source: RNAcentral